Molecule: ribosomal RNA, 374 nt
Filed under: uncultured organism
Description: partial 16S ribosomal RNA
Rfam family: Bacterial small subunit ribosomal RNA
Source: RNAcentral
GUAGGUGGCAAGCGUUGUCCGGAAUUAUUGGGCGUAAAGCGCGCGCAGGUGGUUCUUUAAGUCUGAUGUGAAAGCCCCCGGCUCAACCGGGGAGGGUCAUCGGAAACUGGGGAACUUGAGUGCAGGAGAGGAAAGUGGAAUUCCACGUGUAGCGGUGAAAUGCGUAGAUAUGUGGAGGAACACCAGUGGCGAAGGCGACUUUCUGGCCUGUAACUGACACUGAGGCGCGAAAGCGUGGGGAGCAAACAGGGAUUAGAUACCCUGGUAGUCCACGCCGUAAACGAUGAGUGCUAAGUGUUGGGGGGGUUUCCCGCCCCUCAGUGCUGCAGCUAACGCAUUAAGCACUCCGCCUGGGGAGUACGGUCGCAAGACUG